AAAGAAUUCAUCGUCCCAGAUAUUCGCCGCGGUUCUUUAUACGGUUUAUAUCCCCGUAUAAAGACGAGAACGCGCGAUACCCGGUAUGGACCACCACCUGCAGCAUCAACUCCACCGUUGCGCAGUCACGGAGCAGAUUGUCUUCCGCGGGGCCCUCUCCUAUUCCCUCGUCGUCUAUCGAAUGUUGUUGUACUUCUUCUGGAAAAUCGAUCGUGAGAAUAUCCGGAUAGCCUCCGAUGCACAGGUAUAAGGUAGCCACCUAAAUUCUUGACCGAAAAAAUUUAAGGUCCUCGUAAUACCUCCAUGAAAAAAACAGGGAGAGGGUAUAUAAUGGUAUGGUGGAACGGCAGGUGCUCAACGGCGACG
Molecule: unclassified non-coding RNA, 366 nt
Filed under: Athalia rosae (coleseed sawfly)
Lineage: Eukaryota; Metazoa; Arthropoda; Insecta; Hymenoptera; Athaliidae
Description: misc RNA ENSAEAG00005009130.1
Source: RNAcentral